This 72-nucleotide transfer RNA is filed under the name Vagococcus zengguangii. It matches the Rfam family "tRNA". Rfam says of the family: Transfer RNA (tRNA) molecules are approximately 80 nucleotides in length. Their secondary structure includes four short double-helical elements and three loops (D, anti-codon, and T loops). Lineage: Bacteria; Bacillati; Bacillota; Bacilli; Lactobacillales; Enterococcaceae. The record is from Rfam by way of RNAcentral.
GGCCCGUUGGUCAAGCGGUUAAGACACCGCCCUUUCACGGCGGUACCACGGGUUCGAGUCCCGUACGGGUCA